AGUGAACGCUGGCGGUAGGCCUAACACAUGCAAGUCGAACGGCAGCACAGGAGAGCUUGCUCUCUGGGUGGCGAGUGGCGGACGGGUGAGGAAUACAUCGGAAUCUACUCUGUCGUGGGGGAUAACGUAGGGAAACUUACGCUAAUACCGCAUACGACCUACGGGUGAAAGCAGGGGAUCUUCUGACCUUGCGCGAUUGAAUGAGCCGAUGUCGGAUUAGCUAGUUGGCGGGGUAAAGGCCCACCAAGGCGACGAUCCGUAGCUGGUCUGAGAGGAUGAUCAGCCAAACUGGAACUGAGAUACGGUCCAGACUCCUACGGGAGGCAGCAGUGGGGAAUAUUGGACAAUGGGCGCAAGCCUGAUCCAGCCAUACCGCGUGGGUGAAGAAGGCCUUCGGGUUGUAAAGCCCUUUUGUUGGGAAAGAAAUCCAGCUGGCUAAUACCCGGUUGGGAUGACGGUACCCAAAGAAUAAGCACCGGCUAACUUCGUGCCAGCCGCCGCCGUAA
This 506-nucleotide ribosomal RNA is filed under the name uncultured bacterium. Its description in RNAcentral is "partial 16S ribosomal RNA". It matches the Rfam family "Bacterial small subunit ribosomal RNA", at positions 29 to 523 of the family's 1533-position model. The record is from RNAcentral.